GGAUCCCGGUGGGCCUUCAGCCCAGGCGGUGGCUCAGCUGCUGGGCUGCGGGCUCCAAAAUUGCGGGACCCGGAUCCCCCACCUCAUGCCUGGCCGGGCCCCAGAACCCCAGGACGCGCGAGAGGGCUUGGGCAGAGUACUGCGUGCAUCAGGCUGCCGGGGCCCGGACCGCGCGUGUUUGUAGCCUACAUUCAGGUCAGACUGGAGCACAGGAAGGGGGCCGCGUCUACACCGGCAGCACCAGCUCUGACAGAUUGAUGAUGAGCAGUUGUGACCCAGCACAGGUAUCCAGAUCUGACCUGGCAUAGGACCGAGCGCCUCACUCUGCAAAGCUGCGUAGGCCUCAUCUGGGAGCUGCGGGAAAUGUGGCAUCCUGGGUCCCACCCCAUUCCUCCUAAACACGGGCCUGCCAAGAUGCCCGAGUGAUUCGUGUGCAUGUCGAGGUUUGCGGCAUCUGUGGCCCCCGGGACUCAGGAAAGUUUAGUAGAACCGAAGUACUAGCUAGAACUCUAGACCCCAGUCUCAAUUUCCCGUAAGAGCUGAUGAUAUAAACCUUAUUCCUGAUGAACAGAACAAACGACCUAAUUUGGAGGGCUCAGUGUGAAGUGAAAACAUGGGACCCCUUUACAAAAAGUUCUUAGAAAAUCCAAGGUAGUGACAACCAACCUGGGGCCCUCUGGACUCACUCAUGCUGGCCAAGAAAAUGUAUAAUUCUGCUUUGUUAAUUGCCAACCAUUAUUAAUGAAAAGGCUCCAACCCCUCAUCCUUUUUGAAGUUUAUUUUUUUCUCAAUAUGCAAAUAGAAAUGGUUUCAAAUGGCUGUUAUUCCAGUGUCAAUAAUUCUUUUAAAAAAUACAAAUAUGCAUGUGUCUAUUAAAAUGUGAACGGAAGCUCUAUAUCGGGAAGGACAGUUUGUGCUCAUGUUUUAUUGACAGUGUACAGAUUUUGAUAUAUUGCAUGACAAUACUGACUGCUAGAUUUCUUAUCAAGAGUUAGUUUAUAUUUACUCUAGGUUUUUCUUCACAAUAAAAAUAAACUCAUGCCAGUGUUUAGUA
Molecule: long non-coding RNA, 1054 nt
Organism: Tupaia belangeri chinensis (Chinese tree shrew)
Lineage: Eukaryota; Metazoa; Chordata; Mammalia; Scandentia; Tupaiidae
Exons: 2
Source: RefSeq, a predicted model, not a curated record